Molecule: ribosomal RNA, 1254 nt
Filed under: uncultured Acinetobacter sp.
Lineage: Bacteria; Pseudomonadati; Pseudomonadota; Gammaproteobacteria; Moraxellales; Moraxellaceae
Description: bacterial SSU rRNA
Rfam family: Bacterial small subunit ribosomal RNA
Source: RNAcentral
CUUGCUACCUGACCUAGCGGCGGACGGGUGAGUAAUGCUUAGGAAUCUGCCUAUUAGUGGGGGACAACAUUCCGAAAGGAAUGCUAAUACCGCAUACGCCCUACGGGGGAAAGCAGGGGAUCUUCGGACCUUGCGCUAAUAGAUGAGCCUAAGUCAGAUUAGCUAGUUGGUGGGGUAAAGGCCUACCAAGGCGACGAUCUGUAGCGGGUCUGAGAGGAUGAUCCGCCACACUGGGACUGAGACACGGCCCAGACUCCUACGGGAGGCAGCAGUGGGGAAUAUUGGACAAUGGGCGAAAGCCUGAUCCAGCCAUGCCGCGUGUGUGAAGAAGGCCUUUUGGUUGUAAAGCACUUUAAGCGAGGAGGAGGCUACUUGGAUUAAUACUCUAGGAUAGUGGACGUUACUCGCAGAAUAAGCACCGGCUAACUCUGUGCCAGCAGCCGCGGUAAUACAGAGGGUGCGAGCGUUAAUCGGAUUUACUGGGCGUAAAGCGUGCGUAGGCGGCUUUUUAAGUCGGAUGUGAAAUCCCUGAGCUUAACUUAGGAAUUGCAUUCGAUACUGGGAAGCUAGAGUAUGGGAGAGGAUGGUAGAAUUCCAGGUGUAGCGGUGAAAUGCGUAGAGAUCUGGAGGAAUACCGAUGGCGAAGGCAGCCAUCUGGCCUAAUACUGACGCUGAGGUACGAAAGCAUGGGGAGCAAACAGGAUUAGAUACCCUGGUAGUCCAUGCCGUAAACGAUGUCUACUAGCCGUUGGGGCCUUUGAGGCUUUAGUGGCGCAGCUAACGCGAUAAGUAGACCGCCUGGGGAGUACGGUCGCAAGACUAAAACUCAAAUGAAUUGACGGGGGCCCGCACAAGCGGUGGAGCAUGUGGUUUAAUUCGAUGCAACGCGAAGAACCUUACCUGGUCUUGACAUAGUAAGAACUUUCCAGAGAUGGAUUGGUGCCUUCGGGAACUUACAUACAGGUGCUGCAUGGCUGUCGUCAGCUCGUGUCGUGAGAUGUUGGGUUAAGUCCCGCAACGAGCGCAACCCUUUUCCUUAUUUGCCAGCGGGUUAAGCCGGGAACUUUAAGGAUACUGCCAGUGACAAACUGGAGGAAGGCGGGGACGACGUCAAGUCAUCAUGGCCCUUACGACCAGGGCUACACACGUGCUACAAUGGUCGGUACAAAGGGUUGCUACCUAGCGAUAGGAUGCUAAUCUCAAAAAGCCGAUCGUAGUCCGGAUUGGAGUCUGCAACUCGACUCCAUGAAGUCG